UGACUGCGUACCUUUUGUAUAAUGGGUCAGCGACUUAUAUUCUGUAGCAAGGUUAACCGUAUAGGGGAGCCGGAGGGAAACCGAGUCUUAAUUGGGCGUUAAGUUGCAGGGUAUAGACCCGAAACCCGGUGAUCUAGCCAUGGGCAGGUUGAAGGUUGGGUAACACUAACUGGAGGACCGAACCGACUAAUGUUGAAAAAUUAGCGGAUGACCUGUGGCUGGGGGUGAAAGGCCAAUCAAACCGGGAGAUAGCUGGUUCUCCCCGAAAGCUAUUUAGGUAGCGCCUCGUGAAUUCAUCUCCGGGGGUAGAGCACUGUUUCGGCUAGGGGGCCAUCCCGGCUUACCAACCCGAUGCAAACUGCGAAUACCGGAGAAUGUUAUCACGGGAGACACACGGCGGGUGCUAACGUCCGUCGUGAAGAGGGAAACAACCCAGACCGCCAGCUAAGGUCCCAAAGUCAUGGUUAAGUGGGAAACGAUGUGGGAAGGCCCAGACAGCCAGGAUGUUGGCUUAGAAGCAGCCAUCAUUUAAAGAAAGCGUAAUAGCUCACUGGUCGAGUCGGCCUGCGCGGAAGAUGUAACGGGGCUAAACCAUGCACCGAAGCUGCGGCAGCGAA
This 617-nucleotide ribosomal RNA is filed under the name Salmonella enterica subsp. enterica serovar Typhimurium str. 86-0368. RNAcentral's name for it is "bacterial LSU rRNA". It matches the Rfam family "Bacterial large subunit ribosomal RNA", at positions 594 to 1212 of the family's 2925-position model. Lineage: Bacteria; Pseudomonadati; Pseudomonadota; Gammaproteobacteria; Enterobacterales; Enterobacteriaceae. The record is from RNAcentral.